AUGACCUCCUCCCUUCGCUUCGAGCUACUCUCCACACUUCAGUAUCUCCACUGCUCUGCACUGUUUCUCGUAUGCAGACCGAUCCAAUUUCAGUUCGGGUGCGCGGUGUGGACUGCAUCUUGCUCUUGCUGCUCCCUGUGGCUCCAGAUCUCUCGCUCGGGAUGGCAGCAGGAUCUCCUAGCGGACGGCUCUAUGCAUACCUCGUGUCGUGUUCAUUGUGUAAACACAGAUCGAUCUGACCUGAUAAUUGGCUGCUUAUGCCCGCUCGAUGGCCAGCUAGUCUCCUCUCAUUCACAUAUGAUGAUUUCUCUGACAUCCAACAGCUGUGAGGAAUUUGAUCGCUACAGUGAUACUACUGGUGCUGUUCUUUUUUUAUUAUUCAAGACAAGUGACAAACCCAAUCAUUAA
Molecule: ribosomal RNA, 408 nt
Filed under: Triticum aestivum (bread wheat)
Lineage: Eukaryota; Viridiplantae; Streptophyta; Magnoliopsida; Poales; Poaceae
Description: partial small subunit ribosomal RNA
Source: RNAcentral